This 253-nucleotide ribosomal RNA is filed under the name uncultured bacterium. RNAcentral's name for it is "partial 16S ribosomal RNA". It matches the Rfam family "Bacterial small subunit ribosomal RNA", at positions 524 to 776 of the family's 1533-position model. The record is from RNAcentral.
GACGUAGGGCGCGAGCGUUAAUCGGAAUUACUGGGCGUAAAGCGUGCGCAGGCGGUUUGCUAAGAGAGAUGUGAAAGCCCCGGGCUUAACCUGGGAACUGCGUUUCUAACUGGCAAGCUUGAGUGUGGCAGAGGGGGGUGGAAUUCCACGUGUAGCAGUGAAAUGCGUAGAGAUGUGGAGGAACACCGAUGGCGAAGGCAGCCCCCUGGGCUAACACUGACGCUCAUGCACGAAAGCGUGGGGAGCAAACAGG